RNAcentral lists this non-coding RNA (75 nucleotides) under Desulfobacterales bacterium. RNAcentral describes it as "c-di-GMP sequence". It matches the Rfam family "c-di-GMP-I riboswitch aptamer". From Rfam's summary of the family: GEMM was predicted in a large-scale screen for bacterial structured RNA regulatory elements. Genes associated with GEMM are involved in a diverse array of functions, including chemotaxis regulation, signal transduction, secretion and chitin. The record is from RNAcentral. Lineage: Bacteria; Pseudomonadati; Thermodesulfobacteriota; Desulfobacteria; Desulfobacterales.
AAUCGAAAAGUCAAACUGCCUGUGAAGGUAGGACGGAAAACCACGGGUCUUUAAAAGAAAGCCGGGUUGCCAAGG